RNAcentral lists this small RNA (1278 nucleotides) under Vigna angularis var. angularis. RNAcentral's name for it is "Non-protein coding transcript". The record is from RNAcentral. Lineage: Eukaryota; Viridiplantae; Streptophyta; Magnoliopsida; Fabales; Fabaceae.
CAAAUUUUGUGAAUGUACAGAAGGGUGAUAUUGUCAUUUACCCUCUAAAUUAAACGCUGCGUUUUAUUUAGGGUGUUCUCUGUAUUUAGUUUUCCAGUUGGUCUGAUUUCACAUUUUGGAAGCUAGGGUUGGGGUGAUAGAGAAGCGGAGAAGUGGAAGAGCGUGUUGUGGUAGGGUUCGGUUGAUAGAGAAGGCGAGAACUCCAUGGGUGCCACUUAAUCGGAGGGUGUAUGGUUCUUCUUUGUUUCUUCUUUUGUCAUGAUUUUUGUAUUUUUUCCAUUUGUAUUUGCUUCAUUUUGGUGAACCCUAGACUAAAGGGGGCAAGGUGGUCUGAGGGAGAGUUGCAGUAGGGAGAACACUAAAUUCUCAAUCCGUGACGAGCACUGAGAGAAGACGGUUUGGGGAGUUAUCUCUGUCUAAUUUGAAAACUGUGUUUGAAUGUCUAAUUUGGCAUAUUAUUUUGGUUAGUUUCCCUGUUUGACAAAUUUGAUUGUCCUGUAUUGUAAACUAAUAUUGAUUUAUGACAAAUAUGGUUUGCUUGAUUUGUAACUUGUGUCGUGUCUGAUGCGUGCGAAAUGCAAUGCUGGUUUUCGGAGGGAUGCAUUUUAUUAGAGGUGGUUGUCAAUGUCUGAAAAAGGGAUACCUAUUAAGGAUUGUAACCAACGAGGGAGUUGAUUGAAGUGGAAUAUUUACAUUUGGUUUCUCCCCUGAAUAGGUAGCUGUUGAGAGUGAAUUUCCGUAGUGCUUGAGUAUUUCUCACAUUGAAUCAUCCAAUAUUUAGAAGCUUUUGAGUAAAAUUACUUUGACUUUUUGGAUUUUAUCAUCUGAAAACCCUUAUUUGUAGACCUGCUUAGUUUGGUUUUCAGAUGGUAACAAUGAAAGCAAUUUUAGUGUUCCUCUUUGAAAAUUGUAUGGAUUUCUCCCUUUUGUUUUGUUUUUUCUUCUGUAUGGUUUAUACAAUGUCAUCAACAUCUUCUUGAAUUAGUUUAAAUGCACGUCCACUGGCAACUAACUUUUUGCAUUCUCUUCAUGAUAGGUGGCUGCACUUGUUCCUAAAGGUGAUGUUGAUGGUGAAAUGGGUGAUGCUCACAUGAAUUGAUGAGUCAGGCACUUAGAAAAUUGAGGCAUGCCUUAUCACAGACAUAACAUAUCUCUUUUCCAUCCUUUUUUUCAAGUCAAAGCAUAGAGAUAGUUGGAACAAUCAUUAUGGAAGAACAGGUUUAUGCACGACAUUCAUGCAGGACAAAAUACUUGGCACAUGUGAAUACAUUAUUAACG